Molecule: ribosomal RNA, 439 nt
Filed under: uncultured bacterium
Lineage: Bacteria
Description: bacterial SSU rRNA
Rfam family: Bacterial small subunit ribosomal RNA
Source: RNAcentral
UACGGAAGGCAGCAGUGGGGAAUAUUGCACAAUGGGCGCAAGCCUGAUGCAGCCAUGCCGCGUGUAUGAAAAAGGCCUUCGGGUUGUAAAGUACUUUCAGUCGUGAGGAAGGUGUUAAGGUUAAUAACCUUAGCAAUUGACGUUAGCGACAGAAGAAGCACCGGCUAACUCCGUGCCAGCAGCCGCGGUAAUACGGAGGGUGCGAGCGUUAAUCGGAAUUACUGGGCGUAAAGGGCACGCAGGCGGUUAAUUAAGUUGGAUGUGAAAUCCCCGGGCUUAACCUGGGAAUGGCAUUCAAGACUGGUUAGCUAGAGUCUUGUAGAGGGGGUAGAAUUCCGAUGUGUAGCGGUGAAAUGCGUAGAGAUGUGGAGGAAUACCGGUGGCGAAGGCGGCCCCUGGCAAAGACUGACGCUCAUGUGCGAAAGCGUGGGGAGCAAAC